Molecule: ribosomal RNA, 446 nt
Filed under: uncultured bacterium
Lineage: Bacteria
Description: partial 16S ribosomal RNA
Rfam family: Bacterial small subunit ribosomal RNA
Source: RNAcentral
CCUACGGGCGACAGCAGUCGAGAAUCAUUCACAAUGGGGGAAACCCUGAUGGUGCGACGCCGCGUGGGGGAAUGAAGGUCUUCGGAUUGUAAACCCCUGUCAUGUGGGAGCAAAGUAAAAAGAUAGUACCACAAGAGGAAGAGACGGCUAACUCUGUGCGAGCAGCCGCGGUAAUACAGAGGUCUCAAGCGUUGUUCGGAAUCACUGGGCGUAAAGCGUGCGUAGGCUGUUUCGUAAGUCGUGUGUGAAAGGCGCGGGCUCAACCCGCGGACGGCACAUGAUACUGCGAGACUAGAGUGAUGGAGGGGGAACCGGAAUUCUCGGUGUAGCAGUGAAAUGCGUAGAUAUCGAGAGGAACACUCGUGGCGAAGGCGGGUUCCUGGACAUUAACUGACGCUGAGGCACGAAGGCCAGGGGAGCGAAAGGGAUUAGAUACCCUAGUAGUC